GCAGUGGGGAAUCUUAGACAAUGGGCGCAAGCCUGAUCUAGCCAUGCCGCGUGAGUGACGAAGGCCUUAGGGUCGUAAAGCUCUUUCGCCUGUGAUGAUAAUGACAGUAGCAGGUAAAGAAACCCCGGCUAACUCCGUGCCAGCAGCCGCGGUAAUACGGAGGGGGUUAGCGUUGUUCGGAAUUACUGGGCGUAAAGCGCACGUAGGCGGAUUGGAAAGUUGGGGGUGAAAUCCCAGGGCUCAACCCUGGAACUGCCUCCAAAACUACCAGUCUAGAGUUCGAGAGAGGUGAGUGGAAUUCCGAGUGUAGAGGUGAAAUUCKUAGAUAUUCGGAGGAACACCAGUGGCGAAGGCGGCUCACUGGCUCGAUACUGACGCUGAGGUGCGAAAGUGUGGGGAGCAAACAGGAUUAGAUACCCUGGUAGUCCACACCGUAAACGAUGAAUGCCAGUCGUCGGCAAGCAUGCUUGUCGGUGACACA
RNAcentral lists this ribosomal RNA (481 nucleotides) under uncultured Alphaproteobacteria bacterium. RNAcentral describes it as "bacterial SSU rRNA". It matches the Rfam family "Bacterial small subunit ribosomal RNA", at positions 351 to 850 of the family's 1533-position model. Lineage: Bacteria; Pseudomonadati; Pseudomonadota; Alphaproteobacteria. The record is from RNAcentral.